CAACGACGGACACAGGCGAGGGACAAACUACACUUCAAUAAAAUACCGUUAGCGCUCAGGUGAGAGAGCUCCAUGGGCCUGUACAAUGAAGCUAGUUGGCUAGACAGUCAAUGGUUACUGAAAGAAAAGCUGACCUCUGGACAGUCCUCUGUUCAUCAGCAUCCACGCUUGCUUACAUACUGAACAAAAUAUGAUCAAGAGUUCAAUGUGUUUCAUCUAUGUGAGUGUCAGCCUGUGACUUGCGAAGACUUCCUCAUUCGGUUCAACAGCUCACAGGUCAUCAUCAGAGUAAGAGCCAUGGGAGCUGUAACUCAGCUCUGAGCUGUGCUGCAGGAAGUCUGAGGGAUGAGAAAGACUCACACCUACAUUAAUAGAUUUUCGAAAAUCUUCCUCUUCUUCUUCAUCAUCAUCAUCUUCUUCAUCUGCGUCCAGAUCCUCAU
Molecule: long non-coding RNA, 440 nt
Organism: Misgurnus anguillicaudatus (oriental weatherfish)
Lineage: Eukaryota; Metazoa; Chordata; Actinopteri; Cypriniformes; Cobitidae
Source: RefSeq, a predicted model, not a curated record